RNAcentral lists this ribosomal RNA (433 nucleotides) under uncultured bacterium. Its description in RNAcentral is "partial 16S ribosomal RNA". It matches the Rfam family "Bacterial small subunit ribosomal RNA", at positions 29 to 507 of the family's 1533-position model. The record is from RNAcentral.
AACGAACGCUGGCGGCAUGCCUAACACAUGCAAGUCGAACGAAGGCUUCGGCCUUAGUGGCGCACGGGUGCGUAACGCGUGGGAAUCUGCCCUUUGGUUCGGAAUAACAGCUGGAAACGGCUGCUAAUACCGGAUGAUGACGAAAGUCCAAAGAUUUAUCGCCAGAGAAUGAGCCCGCGUUGGAUUAGGUAGUUGGUGGGGUAAAGGCCUACCAAGCCGACGAUCCAUAGCUGGUCUGAGAGGAUGAUCAGCCACACUGGGACUGAGACACGGCCCAGACUCCUACGGGAGGCAGCAGUGGGGAAUAUUGGACAGUGGGCGCAAGCCUGAUCCAGCAAUGCCGCGUGAGUGAUGAAGGCCCUAGGGUUGUAAAGCUCUUUUACCCGGGAAGAUAAUGACUGUACCGGGAGAAUAAGCCCCGGCUAACUCCGUG